GGUGCCGUGGUUUAGUUGGUUAAAGCGCCUGUCUAGUAAAUAGGAGAUCCAGGUUCCGAUUCCCAGCAGUGCCU
Molecule: transfer RNA, 74 nt
Organism: Lepisosteus oculatus (spotted gar)
Lineage: Eukaryota; Metazoa; Chordata; Actinopteri; Semionotiformes; Lepisosteidae
Rfam family: tRNA
About the family: Transfer RNA (tRNA) molecules are approximately 80 nucleotides in length. Their secondary structure includes four short double-helical elements and three loops (D, anti-codon, and T loops).
Source: Rfam